This 22-nucleotide microRNA is filed under the name Melibe leonina. RNAcentral describes it as "mle-miR-1989a-3p". The record is from miRBase by way of RNAcentral. Lineage: Eukaryota; Metazoa; Mollusca; Gastropoda; Nudibranchia; Dendronotidae.
GAAAGCAUUGGAAAAGCUGAAC